RNAcentral lists this ribosomal RNA (251 nucleotides) under uncultured prokaryote. Its description in RNAcentral is "partial 16S rRNA". It matches the Rfam family "Bacterial small subunit ribosomal RNA", at positions 525 to 775 of the family's 1533-position model. The record is from RNAcentral.
ACAGAGGUGGCGAGCGUUGUUCGGAUUUACUGGGCGUAAAGGGCGCGUAGGCGGCGGAGUGUGUCGGGUGUGAAAUCCCAGGGCCCAACCCUGGAAGUGCGCCCGAAACUGCUCCGCUCGAGUGCGGGAGGGGAGAUCGGAAUGCAGGGUGUAGCGGUGAAAUGCGUUGAUAUCCUGCAGAACACCGGUGGCGAAGGCGGAUCUCUGGAACGCAACUGACGCUGAGGCGCGAAAGUCGGGGGAGCAAACAG